UGGGGAAUUUUGGACAAUGGGCGAAAGCCUGAUCCAGCAAUGCCGCGUGUGUGAAGAAGGCCUUCGGGUUGUAAAGCACUUUUGUCCGGAAAGAAAUCCUUGGCUCUAAUACAGUCGGGGGAUGACGGUACCGGAAGAAUAAGCACCGGCUAACUACGUGCCAGCAGCCGCGGUAAUACGUAGGGUGCAAGCGUUAAUCGGAAUUACUGGGCGUAAAGCGUGCGCAGGCGGUUUGCUAAGACCGAUGUGAAAUCCCCGGGCUCAACCUGGGAACUGCAUUGGUGACUGGCAGGCUAGAGUAUGGCAGAGGGGGGUAGAAUUCCACGUGUAGCAGUGAAAUGCGUAGAGAUGUGGAGGAAUACCGAUGGCGAAGGCAGCCCCCUGGGCCAAUACUGACGCUCAUGCACGAAAGCGUGGGGAGCAAACAGGAUUAGAUACCCUGGUAGUCCACGCCCUAAAACGAUGUCAACUAGUUGUUGGGGAUUCAUUUCCUUAGUAACGUAGCUAACGCGUGAAGUUGACCGCCUGUGGAGUACGGUCGCAAGAUU
This 548-nucleotide ribosomal RNA is filed under the name uncultured bacterium. RNAcentral describes it as "partial 16S ribosomal RNA". It matches the Rfam family "Bacterial small subunit ribosomal RNA", at positions 355 to 895 of the family's 1533-position model. The record is from RNAcentral.